GAUGAACGCUGGCGGCGUGCCUAAUACAUGCAAGUCGAGCGAACGGACGAGAAGCUUGCUUCUCUGACGUUAGCGGCGGACGGGUGAGUAACACGUGGAUAACCUACCUAUAAGACUGGGAUAACUUCGGGAAACCGGAGCUAAUACCGGAUAAUAUUUUGAACCGCAUGGUUCAAAAGUGAAAGACGGUCUUGCUGUCACUUAUAGAUGGAUCCGCGCGGCAUUAGCUAGUUGGUAAGGUAACGGCUUACCAAGGCAACGAUGCAUAGCCGACCUGAGAGGUGGACGGGCACCACUGGACCUAAGCCACGGUCAAGCCUCUUACGGGAGGCAGAGGUAGGGAAUCUUCGGCAAUGGGCAAAAGCCUGACGGAGAAAGGCGCCUGGAGUAUUGAAGGUCUCCGGACCGAAAACCCUUGUAAUUAGGGAAGAAAAUCUGUGAAAGUAACGGGGAAGACCUUACCGUAACUAAACAAGAAGCCCCCGGCUACUUCCUUG
This 497-nucleotide ribosomal RNA is filed under the name uncultured bacterium. RNAcentral describes it as "partial 16S ribosomal RNA". It matches the Rfam family "Bacterial small subunit ribosomal RNA", at positions 28 to 507 of the family's 1533-position model. The record is from RNAcentral.